Molecule: ribosomal RNA, 468 nt
Filed under: uncultured bacterium
Lineage: Bacteria
Description: partial 16S ribosomal RNA
Rfam family: Bacterial small subunit ribosomal RNA
Source: RNAcentral
GACGAACGCUGGCGGCGUGCUUAACACAUGCAAGUCGAACGGAAAGGCCCUGCUUUUGUGGGGUGCUCGAGUGGCGAACGGGUGAGUAACACGUGAGUAACCUGCCCUUGACUUUGGGAUAACUUCAGGAAACUGGGGCUAAUACCGGAUAGGAGCUCCUGCUGCAUGGUGGGGGUUGGAAAGUUUCGGCGGUUGGGGAUGGACUCGCGGCUUAUCAGCUUGUUGGUGGGGUAGUGGCUUACCAAGGCUUUGACGGGUAGCCGGCCUGAGAGGGUGACCGGCCACAUUGGGACUGAGAUACGGCCCAGACUCCUACGGGAGGCAGCAGUGGAGAAUAUUGCACAAUGGGCGGAAGCCUGAUGCAGCAACGCCGCGUGCGGGAUGACGGCCUUCGGGUUGUAAACCGCUUUCGCCUGUGCCGAAGCGUGAGUGACGGUAAUGGGUAAAGAAGCACCGGCUAACUACGUG